UGGGCUCGAAAUGUAGUGGACCGGAGUGGAAACAUUCCUUCCCCGCAAGGGGCUGCUAUAU
RNAcentral lists this ribosomal RNA (61 nucleotides) under uncultured organism. RNAcentral's name for it is "partial 16S ribosomal RNA". The record is from RNAcentral.